AGUUGGUCUUCCAGCUCUUUAAGCUCCAUGGUUACUUCCGUAUAUCUGGACAAAUUUACACUCCUGCCUGCAAUGGAACAAAAGAAUUCCAACAAUUCAACAGUCCUUCACACUGCUAUGUCACCAACCAGAGACUUCCUGCACUCUGAGAAACAAGGCAGUGUGGCUUGGGAGGUCAGAAAUAGAGAUGAUGCCUAGUGGAUGUUGGGGGGCAUCUGUUUCUAAUUGUUCUCAUUCUUCAUCCAACGAGCCACACAGUCAAGACUUGAACUCCAGUGUACAUUACUACUGAGAGCUUUCAGGCUAGAUGUAAUCCCAGAGCUGCAAGCCCCAUUCCAAUGGCAACCCAUACAUGAUCCACACGGGGCAGGAAAGCAAGAACAUUUUCUCUUCAACUCUCAGAAUGCAGUAUCAGAUCAAGAGGGCAUCCUCACAGUCUGUCCUCAGGAGACUACAAACAUCUAGGGUGGCUGAUGAUGUCAAACUUCGGGAUCUACAUGACAGCCACCUAGAAAAAGACGGAUGCCCCAUGACCUCUGAACCCCAGCAUAAACCCCAAGCCUGCCUGAAUCUUUUAGAUGAAUUAGAAGCUAUUAUUCUAGAUAGGUGAAUUUCCAUUGUUUGAAGGCACCAUCCUGGGGACAAUGGUCUAUUCUGAGUCAUUUUUUACCCUCAUCCUGACUCUAAGUUGUCUCCCCCAGCCAUUUCUUCCUCUUUACCUCACUCAGUUGAGCCACAGGCAUUCAGCAAUCACUGAGUGCUCACCUGUGUUCUGGGUUACCCUUAACCUGAAGGUUACUAGAGAAUGCAGUUCUUAUCUCUCAGACAGGUUUUAGUCAUGCUGCAGUAACAAGCAUGCCCAGAACGAAAUGUUUUAAAACAACCCAGGCUUAUUCUGGACACGUUUCUUAUCCAUUGAGGAUUGGUAGAACACUCUAACCACAUGAUCGGCCGUCAGGAUACAGGUCCUGGGAUACAGGCUAAUAGAGGAAGCUAAAACCCUCAGAGGCUGAACUAUGCAGAGUGCAAGAACAGAAGACUCCUUAGGGGAGAAACAGGGACAUGUGUAGGAAUUACUGUGGGAUGGUCAUUCUGAGCAUGGUCAGGGGAACCUUCCAGAGGAUAUGACUAUUAAGCUGAGACUCUGGUUGUGGAGAAGAGAUAGUCUUGGAAGUCUCUUGUGGCAGAGCUCUCCAAGGGUGACCAGGGCUGUCAGAACUGUAUAUCAAGAUGAGGCUUGUCACAUGCAAAGAACUAGACAACAGCCAAUGUUGCCGGACCCCAGAGAACAAGGGAGGAGACAGAGGAUAACGAGAUGUUAAAGUAGCCAGGAGUAAGCAUGUAUAUUAAUCUCUUUCUUGGUGCUGUGACCAAACGGAGGGAGGAAAGUUAGAUUGCAGUUUAUGGUGCUAGAGGGUUACAGCAUGUCACAGGAUGGAAGGCAUGGCAGAGCUCAUGCAAGGAUGAUGUUGGUGGUUCCCACUGCAUGCUAGGCACGAAGCAGGUACUACAGGCUGGCACCAGAGGCGUGUGUAACCUUCAAAGGCCUGCCCUUCACCCAGACCCCACAUCAUAAAGUCUCUACAGCUUUCAAAAUAGCACCACAGACUAGAGGCAAACAUCUAGCACUGAGCCUGAUGGGGGCAGUUUCGAGUCAAGCCAUAACAUUGUCAAUGGUCCCCAGAGGCUCAUGGCCAUUAUAACUAUUACCUUUCAUCUAUCUAUCUAUUAUCUAUCAUAUAUCUAUCAUUUAUCAUCAUGUAGCUAUCAUAAUCUAUCAUAUGUAUAUUAUAUAUGUAUAAUCUAUCAUUAAUCUAUAUGUAUAAUCUAUCAUUAAUCUAUAUGUCUAUCUAUCAUUUACCUAUCAUCUAAAAGUGGAAAGACAUGAAAGUAGAAGGGGGAUAAUAAGAGGGAGAAGAAGCCUAACGGUAGCAGGGAGGGACAAAAGGAAAAGCUAAUGGAACUCUAUGACUUAAAGCAGAAGGGGAUCCUAUCUGGAAGGAGAAAAACCUUGGAGAACGGAGACGGAGGAGAAAGGAAGUCGGGAGGAAGAAAUAAACAUGAUGUACACGUAUGCAAGUGCCAAAAUGAAACAUCAACGUUGUAGGCUAACUAAAAUUAAAUCCAAACUAUUUCGAAAGAAAAACAGAGCAGACCCUGUUAAUCAAACACCACACAGUCCCUGUGACACCUACCCACUAAAGCUCUUCCCCAGCGUGACCACUUGAGUCUGCAGCCAGUCCUGGUGUGGAAGCAAUCAGUUCCUGGGGUGUUACAACAAGUCCCACAGACUGCAAUAGCUAGCUGCCUUGCUCAAGUGGAAACUUCCUCUCCACCAUCUCCUCUCCUGAGGAGCGGGCAGCAAUUCCUCACGCAGCUCAGGAUAUCAGAUGCAGCCACAGCUUUGUGCUCACCCACCCCCCACCUACAGCUAUGUUCCACAUCCUUCUCCAUUAAGCCCAGCAGGGAAACAGCAUAGCUGGGAGGAAACGCCAAGAACCCAGGGAAGGGCUCUUGCUAGCAGAGAAAGGUCCCAUGCCCACAAUUAAUUAUACACAUUUAUUGGAGGGCUGGUAAGCAAAUCAGCGUCAUUGAUGAUUUAUCCCCUAAUUUGCGUUGAGCACACACCUCAUAAAUCAAUAAGAGAAAAUGGCAUUAAAGCAUUGGUGUUAAGUGUAAGCAAAUCGCAGUGUACUGGUUCUCUUAAUUAAAAGAAUGUGUGUAUUG
This 2727-nucleotide long non-coding RNA is filed under the name Mus musculus (house mouse). RNAcentral's name for it is "RIKEN cDNA C230099D08 gene". The record is from RNAcentral. Lineage: Eukaryota; Metazoa; Chordata; Mammalia; Rodentia; Muridae.